ACCUAUACUAAAAGGGUUAUAUGAGCAUCAGAGAGUGUGUCCACGUAGGACAAUUAAAUCAUCCAAUCAGAGAACAGCUCUCCGCCACGUCAUAUACGCAUGACAAAUUCUAAUUUCCCCAAAAUCGAAUCUCGAUCCCUUUCUCUUCGUCUUCUCCGUCUGCUAUUUUAGAUCAAAACCAACUUGCUCGACUGGUCUUGCAGCGACGAAUCACCCGCGAGGCAUAGUCUUAUCUUCCGCGGUUUGAUCCCUGUGCUGUACGCAGGGUCGGCAAGAGCCUCGCACGAUGAAUCGACAGAAGAAGCUAUUGAGUUUGCGACUCAGCAGGGGAAAGAGAAGGAGCUGUGCAAGACUGGAGACUCCGUUGUUGCUCUACUCCGAGUUGGGAACGCUUCCCUAAUCAAGAUCUUGACCGUUAAGUGAUGAUGAUUAGGAAAAAUCCCGUUUUUGGCGUCUGGCGUUUGGAGGAAACGCAACUAUAUACGUUUUUCUUAAUAUGAAUUUUGUUCAAGAUUUGUGAUUAAAAUCUUGAGAUAGAAAACUCAAAUUCUCUUUCUUGAUAAUUACAACUGUGGUGACCCGUGUGAAUCCACUUACGGUUUUUUUUUUCUGGAUACUCAGGUGGUUGUAUGGAACUAAUGAAUCGUACACGUAUCUCUACUAUCAUGACUUUUUUUUGUUUUUUUGUUUUGUUUUGGUGAAGUUUGAUGCUUUGGUUGCAGCCCUUCCGUUAUCAGACUGAGGUGAAGAAACUCAGUUGAAAAGAAUUGUUGAACUCCUGGUAAUAUAUGUCUCACUCACUGAUAAGUUGAGCUCGAUAAAUAAAUCAUUGCAUGUUCCCUUCUAUGCUAUUUUUCUUCAGGUGGAAAAUGAUGUUAUUGGCCAAGAGCUCUCUAACGAUUUACAUCUAUUCUGAUCCAACUGCUGCGGAACGUUUGUAUCGAAGAAAGAUGUCAUGUAGAAAAAGUCAUCAGCUGGGCAAGCACAAGGUUUAACAACCACUAAACCACUCAGUUGAGACAGUAGGAUCUCUUUCGUGUUGAUCAUACAAGCUUGCGAUAUAGAGCUAGAAGACAAAGCCAGAGAAGUAGCACAGCUGAAAACAGAGAGGUAGAGCUAGAGAGAAUUACGAGGCUGAAGCAUGUAGAGGCAGACAUAUCCCCAGCUAAAAGUUAACGAUGCAAAGCGGAGGCUGAUUGGUCGAUUAUUAAGGGCAUGGACAAUAUUCAAACGCUGGAUGCAAAAUUGUUUUCAGUAUUUUAUUUGCUAACGCCACCGUAUGUGCAGGUUGCAGAGUUUAAAUGCCUACUCGGUGUUAAAGCUAAUACCAAAGAAUGAAUACUAUGACAAAACUCUCCAGCUUCCAAAAGAAUUUGAUGCUACAACUGCUUGGUGACAGUGCACCAGUGUUGGAAGGAUCCUAGGUCUCAUUCAUCUUCUGUCUAUUUGGAAAUUAAACUUACUGAAGAAGUUGCAAGGGAUAAGCAAAGUUGCUUCUUCUUCAGGAAACAAGUUAGGUUGCAAGAAACACUGACACCAAAGAAGUUGCUUAUUCUAGCUCUUCAGGAAGCUGAGAGAAAUGGAAAUAGCAUAUAUAUUAUCUGCCUUAUCCGUG
Molecule: long non-coding RNA, 1615 nt
Organism: Brassica napus (rape)
Lineage: Eukaryota; Viridiplantae; Streptophyta; Magnoliopsida; Brassicales; Brassicaceae
Exons: 6
Source: RefSeq, a predicted model, not a curated record